This 3996-nucleotide long non-coding RNA is filed under the name Homo sapiens (human). RNAcentral describes it as "HSALNT0102168". The record is from RNAcentral. Lineage: Eukaryota; Metazoa; Chordata; Mammalia; Primates; Hominidae.
CAGGGAUGCUGUGCAGAUGGCCAGUACUUGCAGUGUGAGCCAGCUCACUGGUACACAGAAAGCUGGAGUUUGAGAGGAGAGAGCAAAAUACAAAGUGUGUGUCCUAGACUCUCCCAUCUAGCCUUCUCAUGAGAUAGGCCAACAGCCUUCAACAGGUGAUGCUUCCUUCAGUAGCCCCACCUCCCUUGGCUUCUGCCCCUGACCUGGCUCAGGAGUCUUCAUGGGAACAGUGUGCCCUUGUCUUCAUCAAAAGCAGCCCUGCAGGGAGGAGGCUCGGAAGGAACUGGUUAAGAGAUCAGAGUAACUUUUGAGCUAAUGAGGACACUAGGUGACAUCAAGCCCAAACACUUUCUGAACAAGUGGCUGGUCCUGAGAGGUGAUCGAGGUCACACAACUAUAAGAUAUAAGCAGGAACUGAAAAAUCACAUCUCCAGACUCAUCACUUGGGCUUGGCCAUGGACUUGCAUAUCAUUGCUGAGAGAAGUCUCAACAGCAGCUUAAGUACUAUUGAAGACCUCAAGAUGACAAAUUUUCUCCAUCACUUCUAAGGCUGAAUUGUCAUAUCCAAUGUGCUUUAUGACUAUGCUUUGAUUUGUGCUGAUGGAUCUAAGGUGUGCACCUCUGGAGGCUUUGAGGUGGCUAUACUUCAGUUGUGGAUAAAGAGGUGAAGAAGGACAUCUAUGGUGAUGCUCAGUAAUAUCUGCGAAGAACUGUGGAGACAGACAAAUAGUCAAAGGAGAAUACAGAUGACUUUCAGAAGAAGUGUGAACAUCAAGCUGAGGAGCUUUUUUGAAGAGCAGGAUCUUUCUAUCAACAUGGGAUAGUGGAAGAUUAAAGUAGUGAUGACUACAUAUAGAAAUACAAAGUUGAAGUGAGAGACGCAAGUCUGAUACUGCAAAAGAAAAAUGUAAGAAACUUAGGACUCAACUUUAUCAAUGAGUUCGUUCAACUAUAGAAAUGCACUAGGGACUGAAUGGUGUCCCCCCAAAAUUUAUAUGUCAAAGCUCUAAUCCUCAAUAUGAUGAUCUCCAGAGAUGGAACUUUGGGGUGGUAAUUGGGUUUAGAUGAGGUUAUGAGGAUGGGGUCCUCAUGAAGGGAUUAGUGCCCUUAUAAGGAGAGGCCAGAGUGCUCACUUGUUCGCAUAUGCUCUUGUAUUCUCUCUCUCUCCUCAACCCCCACCAUGUGAGGACACAACAAGAAGAUGGUUGUCUACAAGCCAGGAAGAGAACCUUCACAAGGAACCAAAUCAGCGGGCACCGUGAUCACGAGACUCCCAGCCUCCAGAACUGUGAGAAAUAAAUGUCUGCUGUUGAAGCCAUCCAGUCCACAGUAUUUUGUUACAGCAGCCUGAGCAGAUUAAAAUAAAGAAAUGUAACUUGUGAGAUAGACAGAAAGGUAAGAAAGAGAAAAUGCAACAUAAAGUCUAUGCUUAAAGGAGCGCUUAUUAGUAGUUAAGAUGAGCUAGGCAAAAUAUAAAUGGUAGAGAAAUGAAAGAUGACAACACUCAUAACUUGCUCAUUCAUGCAACAGAUACGUGCAGAGUAUCUAUUGAAGGACCCUGCACUGGUACUUAGGAAUCAAACUUAAAUCCCACCUUCAAAUCUGACAGAGAUAAGACAUAGACAGACUGUUUUUUAUUUGGGUAAAUUAUUCAUACCCAUUAAAAGAUCUGUAGAUAAAUGCCUUUGGAUUUCUAAGAGGGGAGAUAUUAUUUUCAACUGGGAGAAACACAGGAAUAUCAUUUUAUGUACUAAGUAGCAUUUGGUGUAGAGCUUAUAGAGAAAUAGAAUGUUCACAUGGAGAGAAUGCUGUAUGGGGAACUCCAGAUGGAAUAAUUGGUAUUAGCUCUGGUCCCAGAGUAGUGACUAUCUUUGCAGGAAACCUCAGGUGUAAUCUUAUGGACCUCUGGAAAGACUGUAACAAAAUAACUAUUUAUGGAGAUGACUGGCAAAGUUAAGGACACGGACAAGGGACAUGAGGGGCCUAGGGACAGGCAACAGUGAGAAGUCACUCCUAGGAAAGAGUGUUCAGGGAGCCAGUGAAGAGUGUAGCCAUGUAGAAAGAAUGGCCUGACAGAGCAUUCAUCCUAGAGGGAUGCAGCUGCUGCAAGAGCCAUGAUGCUGAUGCAGGAGGAGAAGAGGGAGACAGAAGGAGACAGGAAGAGACAGGAGGAAAAGCCUCAGCCUCUCCCUUCCCACUCUCCAACCUCCCUGCUUGAACGCUCACCAGCUGAUCCCAACAAGAAACACAGUCAGUAGGAACAGCUCUGGAGCACAGCUUGAGGUAGAAAAUGGAGCAGGGUAGGGACCAAGUGGAAAAUAAUUGCCAUAGCUACUGAGACAGGAGAGAAGAAAAUGUGUAUAUGAGAAAACAGUUUGUUUUGGCUAGAAUAAAUGAUGCAUGAGGGCAAAAAGCCAGAGUGUGCUUAUAAAAGUAAGUGGUAGCUGAAACUCAUCAGAAUAAUGACAAAAUAAAGGGAAACGAAAAGACGUAUGAAUCUGGUGCUUAACUCAUCAGGGAUGUUUGGCGCCUUUCCUGGAAAUUACAGAUAAAAGCAACAGGAGUGGAGAGAAAUGACAUCAGAACAUAAGAGGUACCACAAAAUAUGAGUUAGUUUUUAGAAAUGUGAAUGUAGCAGUGGCCAAGAAGAGGCAGUAGAGAGAAAGCAGUACUCUGAUUCCUCCAUCUCACUCAAUGAGGUGAACAGGAAGAAUGCCAUUUAUUUUCUCGGACAAAGGCAGCAUAGUCUUUAGACACUUGCUUGGAUCAGGAGGGACAGGCUACUUCCAUGAUUUGGGUCAUUGUGAGGGAAGUAGUUAAGAAAAAAAAAAGAAGGACAGGAGAUAAGGGAACUAUUUGCGGGACUAGUAGAAAGAAGGCAGCAGUGAGAGCAGGGACAGGUGGAACAGAGCUAAAGAGGAAAGAGAGAAGGAAAAGGGAUGGCAGGGGAUGGUGAUUUUUAAUGGCAGGAUCAGAGAGUCACGUUGUCGGAAAGUUGAACAAAUAUAUAUUAGCCCCUGUGGGAAUUCUAGAGAGGAAAACCAGCCAUGAGACCUUUCUAAGUAUAUACUCUUAAGAGAAAUAUUGAUGUAGUAUUCAACCUCAGAGGUUAAGGAAUAGUGGGUUUCAGGAAGGACCUGGAGGGUGGUCAGCUGCACACGUAGAGGUGUGCUGCAGCCAGCUUGUACCAGCUCCUGAGAAUCAAUUGUGCACAUCUCUUUCCAACUCUGGGCUCUGUGGCUUCACAUAAACACCAAAAUAUGUCAUGGUAGGUGUAGUUCUACCCAUAGAAACUGGCAAAUGCUACAGAUGAGGGUUCCCUUCUCACAAAGUCAACUAUCAACCCCAGAGCCUCUUAUUAAACCUUUACCAGCACACCACUGAUCUGCUGCAGCUUCAAUUUGAGGACAGGUUGUUGCAAUGAGCACUGAGGAAGGUGUUGCAUGAGAACAUGUUCAUGAAAGAAGCAGCACCCUCUGCCAAAGAUCACCGGGUGAGUGUGUGCUGAGCAGGUGCAGGCAUGGUCCUCCUUAAAAGACUGGAAUCAGAGGCUGCUCAUUGAUUAGAACUACAUUUUGAUCAAGCUGAGAGAAUUCCAGGUGAUACAACCUGGAAUAAGCUAAGCAAAUAAAAAUAAGUCAUCAACAACCUGUCAGGCAUGCGGAAUUCAGUGAAUAGAAAAUUAACCCAUUCCUCUGAACUAAGCAAUGCUUGAUUUAGCUUCAGUGAGCCUUACAAGUGGAAGCUGGCACUUUCUUCCUGUUUGUUUGUAUCUACUGCAAGAAGUAAAAAUACAUACCACCUACCUGAAGCCUGUCAUGGUACUUGUGUUUCUGUAGGAAUAUUUUCUACAACAUCUUAAGUUACUGCUAGAAAUUGCCAGCAAUUGUGUCUGUGUUUUCCCAUUUUUGAAAGAAAUUAAUACUCUCAAUGCCUUAGAGUUGCUCCUUCCCACCUUCUGAUGCCUUGUCCUGGGCUUAGUGGAUGUAAAUUAAC